RNAcentral lists this ribosomal RNA (427 nucleotides) under uncultured bacterium. RNAcentral describes it as "partial 16S ribosomal RNA". It matches the Rfam family "Bacterial small subunit ribosomal RNA", at positions 354 to 796 of the family's 1533-position model. The record is from RNAcentral.
GUGAGGAAUCUUCCACAAUGGGCGAAAGCCUGAUGGAGCAACGCCGCGUGAAGGAUGAAGGUCUUCGGAUUGUAAACUUCUUUUAUGAGUGAAGAAUAUGACGGUAACUCAUGAAUAAGCACCGGCUAACUACGUGCCAGCAGCCGCGGUCAUACGUAGGGUGCAAGCAUUAUCCGGAGUGACUGGGCGUAAAGAGUUGCGUAGGCGGUUAUGUAAGCGAAUAGUGAAACCUGGUGGCUCAACCACACAGACUAUUAUUCGAACUGCAUAACUCGAGAAUGGUAGAGGUGACUGGAAUUUCUUGGGUAGGAGUGAAAUCCGUAGAUAUAAUAAGGAACACCAAUGGCGUAGGCAGGUUACUGGGCCAUUUCUGACGCUAAGGCACGAAAGCGUGGGGAGCGAACCGGAUUAGAAACCCUUGUAGUCC